RNAcentral lists this small nuclear RNA (61 nucleotides) under Pelodiscus sinensis (Chinese soft-shelled turtle). The record is from RNAcentral. Lineage: Eukaryota; Metazoa; Chordata; Testudines; Trionychidae.
UAGAUGAGUAUGGCCCCUGCACAAAGAUGACGUGCAAAUUCAUGAAAUGUUCCAAUUUUUA